Molecule: ribosomal RNA, 569 nt
Filed under: uncultured bacterium
Lineage: Bacteria
Description: partial 16S ribosomal RNA
Rfam family: Bacterial small subunit ribosomal RNA
Source: RNAcentral
UGGGGAAUUUUGGACAAUGGGCGAAAGCCUGAUCCAGCAAUGCCGCGUGUGUGAAGAAGGCCUUCGGGUUGUAAAGCACUUUUGUCCGGAAAGAAAUCCUUGGCUCUAAUACAGUCGGGGGAUGACGGUACCGGAAGAAUAAGCACCGGCUAACUACGUGCCAGCAGCCGCGGUAAUACGUAGGGUGCAAGCGUUAAUCGGAAUUACUGGGCGUAAAGCGUGCGCAGGCGGUUUGCUAAGACCGAUGUGAAAUCCCCGGGCUCAACCUGGGAACUGCAUUGGUGACUGGCAGGCUAGAGUAUGGCAGAGGGGGGUAGAAUUCCACGUGUAGCAGUGAAAUGCGUAGAGAUGUGGAGGAAUACCGAUGGCGAAGGCAGCCCCCUGGGGCCCAAAUACUGACGCUCAUGCACGAAAAGGCGUGGGGGAGCAAACAGGAUUGAUACCCCUGGGUAGUCCACGCCCCUAAAACGAUGUCACUAGUUGUUGGGGAUUCAUUUUCCUAGUAACGUAGCUAACGCGUGAAGUUGACCGCCUGGGGGAGUACGUCGCAAGAUUAAAACUCAAAUGAA